GGGGUUCUAGCUCAUCGGUAGAGCGCUCGCUUAGCACGCCUUGACGUCGUGUGCGAGAGGUACAGGAUUCGACUCCCUGGUACUCCA
RNAcentral lists this transfer RNA (87 nucleotides) under Puccinia sorghi. RNAcentral describes it as "tRNA-Ala". It matches the Rfam family "tRNA". Rfam says of the family: Transfer RNA (tRNA) molecules are approximately 80 nucleotides in length. Their secondary structure includes four short double-helical elements and three loops (D, anti-codon, and T loops). The record is from RNAcentral. Lineage: Eukaryota; Fungi; Basidiomycota; Pucciniomycetes; Pucciniales; Pucciniaceae.